This 469-nucleotide long non-coding RNA is filed under the name Homo sapiens (human). Its description in RNAcentral is "HSALNT0352313". Lineage: Eukaryota; Metazoa; Chordata; Mammalia; Primates; Hominidae. The record is from RNAcentral.
AUGAACAUAGAGGAUCACCGCAUGUCAUGACAGGCAGAGUAACUGAACAUAGAGCACUUGAGGCACAUGAAGACUUUGUACGACCUUUUCUCUGAAUGGAAAAUGAAUUCUCCUGCACUCAGCAUAUCAAAUCCUGAGAGACUUUCCUGGACCGACUUUGGCCACCUCAAUUUCUGAAAUGUUAUACUGAUUACUUCUUUAAGAUAUUGUUUGGCCCAAGGUCAUGUAACAUAUGAGUUCAUUCUGUGCAUGAAGCUCCCCAGAGAACAACGGUACACAAUGUCAGUUUGGUUAUGGCAUCUGAAAACUCAUAAGAGCAGACUUUCAUUAAAAGCAGUAUUACCCCCAGCCCUUGCCUUCUGAGAAUUCACAUAUGAAUAAUUAGGAGUCUGUAAGUAGGGGCCUACCUGUGGUACAUAUUUCUCCUGUUUUUGAAGUAAAAGGAUAUUUCUAUAAAGUUUCUCAAACA